CGGGUAUCGCUCUCCGAACGGAAGGAAGCGCGGCCACAGGACCCCAAAUACACCCACGCGGUGCACAUGGGACAUGCGGUGCACCACUGCUCAUUUCUGAUGCUGGAAAUAGAACAUGAAAUCUCUCUGUGUUGAAAAAAGCUCUCUCCUUCUUCAAACCCUAACAAGUUUUGAAUUCUACACAUUGCUCCGCGUGCUCCAGAGACCCGCAGCGGUGCUAGAAAGCCGGCCUCGGCAGCUCUCCUCUCGCAGGUAUGCGCUUUGCUAUGAGGCAGGAGAGUGGGGCAGGGAGGAUGAGGCACCCUGACAAGCAGCACUCCGAAACGCCAUUCCUCAAAUAGUUAGGAACCAGCCACUUCCCAAGCAGGUUAUGCCCGAGACAGCCGUGCCUCCCAAGUGUCACUCGCACACAAAUCACUCUCCACAGCCGCCCAAGGAGGAAUUCACCCUCCAACCCCGCUCGCCUCUUUCAGCUUUACAUGCUGCCAACUCCACCGGCUCUACCAAACACACUACCAAGGCCGGAUGCCCACCACAGGCCGCUGCCGGACAGCGGCUGCAGGAUGCCCCGACGGCGACGCACUGCCACGUUGGUCAUCCAACGUCACCUGCCCUGGGGACUCUGCCUCCCAGCAGUGACACCCUGCGAGCGUUUCGUGCCGGGGAGGUCAAGGCCUGCGGGAGGCUCACGCUGGCAGGGCGCGGGGAUGCGGCACCCCAGGAGUGCCGGCCCUUGGGAGUGCUGCGCUGGCCUUCCGAGGCUGCAAGGCACCAAAGUUGGAUCUGCAAGUGAUUAAACAGCGCUCCGCAGCCAUUGUCUCUGCACUGCCGAAAUAAAAACGCAACCCACAGCAAACCCCUGCGCUUGCAUCCCA
Molecule: long non-coding RNA, 875 nt
Organism: Cygnus atratus (black swan)
Lineage: Eukaryota; Metazoa; Chordata; Aves; Anseriformes; Anatidae
Exons: 2
Source: RefSeq, a predicted model, not a curated record